GACGUAGGGCGCGAGCGUUGUCCGGAUUUAUUGGGCGUAAAGAGCUCGUAGGCGGUUUGUUGCGUCGGCUGUGAAAUCCCGAGGCUCAACCUCGGGUCUGCAGUCGAUACGAGCAAACUAGAGUGUUGCAGGGGAGACUGGAAUUCCUGGUGUAGCGGUGAAAUGCGCAGAUAUCAGGAGGAACACCGGUGGCGAAGGCGGGUCUCUGGGCAACAACUGACGCUGGAGGAGCGAAAGCGUGGGGAGCGAACAGG
This 254-nucleotide ribosomal RNA is filed under the name uncultured bacterium. RNAcentral's name for it is "partial 16S ribosomal RNA". It matches the Rfam family "Bacterial small subunit ribosomal RNA", at positions 524 to 776 of the family's 1533-position model. The record is from RNAcentral.